Molecule: long non-coding RNA, 1554 nt
Organism: Boleophthalmus pectinirostris (great blue-spotted mudskipper)
Lineage: Eukaryota; Metazoa; Chordata; Actinopteri; Gobiiformes; Gobiidae
Exons: 3
Source: RefSeq, a predicted model, not a curated record
UUGUAAUUCCGGUACGCUCGGGCUCUUGUUGCAUAAGUAGCGGAGCCUCGUGUUGGUCCCGAGCACCUGUGCCUUUUUUUGUGUGUGUAUAUGUACCGUGUGCGUUCACGCAGGAUAACCACACAUGUAACCAUCAACAAACAUCGUCAAAUAUCACCUGUUCCCUCCUCUUCAAUAAACAUCUACCUUUUGUAUCAGUGGAGUUUCCUGCCUUCUGACCGAGGACGACUCAGUUGAGUAUGAAUCAGUAAUCAGUGCAUUCUGGACGCACACAGUACCUCACAGUAAUAUAACAUUUGAAGUAACGUUGCUUGAGUAAAAUUUUUGGCUACUCUCAUACACUUUAAAAUAAAUGACACAAUAAGUUGGUGUUAUACAGAUUUUAUUAAAAGAAUCAGUAGGUUUUCUCUUAGACUGUUUCACCAUCUUUAUAGAGACAUUCAGCACGACACUUCUGAUGAAAAUCACAGGAAGCAGAACUUCAUGUGGGCUGUGAACUAAGUUGCGUCAUGUUUAGAAACUUUUACUUGUUUUGGUUUUGGUGACUCUUCCCACUGUGAGUAAGUCUACAAGUCACAAAAGCUUUAUGUGACAAUAUGACAUGAUUUGAACAUUUGUGUUUCUUGCAGCUCCUUCAGUUAUGAUUUAGUUUGUGUAAAUAUCAGCCAGUCCAGUAGAUGGCGCCCUAACCUUACCUGUUCAACCACACCCCUCCAGAAGUAAAUAGCUGCAGAACUUGUCAGCUUGAGACAUGUGUCAUACCACCAUCAAAUUUUGUUUAAUACUUGCAGCCCUCAGACAGCGGAGCGAGUUUUCACUGUGCUGUUUGAUGUUGCUGAAAUCUGUAAAAUAUUCGCACCAGUCGAAGCUCUCUGUGUUUUAUUGAAUCUGAGGGACUGCUACAGUUUGUCAAAUUUUUGCGUCUAUCUUUAAUUAGAUUCACUUAAAUUUUAAAUCAAUGUUACAUCCUGAAAGUUACUCAUUAAGUUACUCUUGAGUAAUACUCUUCCCAAAUACUUUACUUUUACUUGAGUAAAACCCUAACCCUAAAAUGCAUUUUGUAACAUGUUCAGAGUACUAUAUUCUGAACACUUAGAAUACUUUCACAUAGAGUUACAUUAUAUUAAAGUGUAAAAAGAUGACAGGGUUGCAAUUAUUUAUCACUAAUUACCGGUUUGUAAAAGCCUGAUCCUGUCUGAUCUCAAAAGCGCAAGGCAGUGCCUAGUUAAUACUUGGAUGGGAGACCUCAGGGAAAAUCAUGUGCCAUAGGGGGGCGCCAAUCACAAAACUGUCGUUGUCUUAGGCAAGACACUUCACCCACAUUGCCUAGUAUGAAAGUGGUGUGUGUGUGUGUGAUGGUGGUGGUUGGAGGGACCUGUGGCGCUGAUUGGCUGGCAGCCGUGCUUCUGUCAGUCUGCCCCAGGGCAGCUGUGGCUACAAUAGUAGCUUACCACCACCGGGUAUGGAGUGAAUGAAAUAAUGCUCUGUAAAGCGUUUUGUGACAUAUGUCUUUGAAACGAGCCAUGUAAAUAAAAACAUACUAAUUGGAGAAUA